GUGGGUAUAGCUCAGUGGUAGAGUUCGUGCUUAGCAUGCAUGAGGUCCUAGGUUCAAUCUCCAGUACCUCCA
RNAcentral lists this transfer RNA (72 nucleotides) under Camelus bactrianus (Bactrian camel). It matches the Rfam family "tRNA". Rfam says of the family: Transfer RNA (tRNA) molecules are approximately 80 nucleotides in length. Their secondary structure includes four short double-helical elements and three loops (D, anti-codon, and T loops). Lineage: Eukaryota; Metazoa; Chordata; Mammalia; Artiodactyla; Camelidae. RNAcentral also lists the same sequence under 2 other names. The record is from Rfam by way of RNAcentral.